This 465-nucleotide ribosomal RNA is filed under the name uncultured bacterium. RNAcentral's name for it is "partial 16S ribosomal RNA". It matches the Rfam family "Bacterial small subunit ribosomal RNA", at positions 28 to 507 of the family's 1533-position model. The record is from RNAcentral.
GACGAACGCUGGCGGCGCGCCUAACACAUGCAAGUCGAACGAGCGGGAGAGAGCUUGCUUUCUUGAGCGAGUGGCGAACGGGUGAGUAACGCGUGAGUAACCUGCCUCAAAGAGGGGGACAACAGUUGGAAACGACUGCUAAUACCGCAUAAGCCCACGACCCGGCAUCUGGUUGAGGGAAAAUGAGCAAUCCGCUUUGAGAUGGCCUCGCGUCCGAUUAGCUAGUUGGUGAGGUAACGGCCCACCAAGGCGACGAUCGGUAGCCGGACUGAGAGGUUGAACGGCCACAUUGGGACUGAGACCAGGCCCAGACUCCUACGGGAGGCAGCAGUGGGGAAUAUUGCACAAUGGGGGAAACCUGAUGCAGCGACGCCGCGUGGAGGAAGAAGGUCUUCGGAUUGUAAACUCCUGUUGUUGAGGAAGAUAAUGACGGUACUCAACAAGGAAGUGACGGCUAACUACGUG